RNAcentral lists this ribosomal RNA (508 nucleotides) under uncultured bacterium. RNAcentral describes it as "partial 16S ribosomal RNA". It matches the Rfam family "Bacterial small subunit ribosomal RNA", at positions 28 to 523 of the family's 1533-position model. The record is from RNAcentral.
GAUGAACGCUAGCUACAGGCUUAACACAUGCAAGUCGAGGGGAAACGAUAUUGGAAGCUUGCUUCCGAUAGGCGUCGACCGGCGCACGGGUGAGUAACGCGUAUCCAACCUGCCCACCACUUGGGGAUAACCUUGCGAAAGUAAGACUAAUACCCAAUGACGUCUCUAGAAGACAUCUGAAAGAGAUUAAAGAUCUAUCGGUGAUGGAUGGGGAUGCGUCUGAUUAGCUUGUUGGCGGGGUAACGGCCCACCAAGGCUACGAGCAGUAGGGGUUCUGAGAGGAAGGUCCCCCACAUUGGAACUGAGACACGGUCCAAACUCCUACGGGAGGCAGCAGUGAGGAAUAUUGGUCAAUGGGCGAGAGCCUGAACCAGCCAAGUAGCGUGCAGGAUGACGGCCCUAUGGGUUGUAAACUGCUUUUAUAAGGGAAUAAGGUGAGUCUCGUGAGACUUUUUGCAUGUACCUUAUGAAUAAGGACCGGCUAAUUCCGUGCCAGCCGCCGCAGUAA